CAACUGUGGAGCAAAGCACAUCGUCUUUACAGUGUUAAAACAUAAUGCUUUCUUAAUUUUAUGAAGAACACGCACUAGAGAUGCUUAGGUACAUCUCAGAAGGAUUGGUGUGCACCAAAAUAUCACAAGAAAUGGCCAUAGCAGCUGGUCGUCCUUAGAAUGUUUAUUUUUUGGUGAACCACUUCAGACUGUUGUCACAGGCUUGGGUUCCUCAAUAUAUCCAGCUCAUCGAUUUAGCUCUGGAUGUUUGUUGUAAGAUUUUACAUCCUAGGCCUGAAUGUGAACCUUGACCUGGACAAUCUUACAGAUAACAAUAGAAGAGUCACCUGACAUUGCACAGGCAAAUUCAUCAGUUUCAGAUCCUGUCCUGCCAUCUUCAGGUAGACGCAGUAGUGGAUAUCCUGGCGAACCUUUAUUGGACUUAGAGCCACCUUGGGACAAUCCCCCAUAACAAAUGUGCAUCUUAGGCUUGGCAAUCUCACUCAGUUUUGUAGGAAAGGAGGAUUGGCACCAUUGGAUUGACAAAUAUUGACAAUUGACAGUUCAGUCACACUAAAAUAUAGUGGCAUGUUGCUGCAAGUUACCACACUUAUUCCAAGAUUGCUGAAUUAUCAUUACUGUCUAAGGAGACCCAAGAUCUCUCAACCAAAAGAAGAAACUUGGGGAUCAAUCAGUUAUUAGAUUAAAAUACUGGAACACUACCCAUCACUGUUGUGUUCACUAUAUGGAAAAGAUGACCGUGAUAUUGGAACCUUGGAGAUUCAUAACUUGAUUUUACUCCUGUGAAAAGUAACUGCUUUGU
Lingula anatina is the source of this 802-nucleotide long non-coding RNA. NCBI's taxonomy places the organism in Eukaryota, Metazoa, Brachiopoda, Lingulata, Lingulida, Lingulidae. The record is from RefSeq and is a predicted model, not a curated record.